RNAcentral lists this ribosomal RNA (821 nucleotides) under uncultured Cryptomonadaceae. RNAcentral's name for it is "SSU rRNA". It matches the Rfam family "Eukaryotic small subunit ribosomal RNA", at positions 441 to 1276 of the family's 1831-position model. The record is from RNAcentral. Lineage: Eukaryota; Cryptophyceae; Cryptomonadales; Cryptomonadaceae.
UUACCCAAUCCCGAUUCGGGGAGGUAGUGACAAUAAAUAACAAUACAGGGCCAACGGUCUUGUUAUUGGAAUGAGAACAAUUUAAAUAACUUAACGAGGAUCAAUUAGAGGGCAAGUCUGGUGCCAGCAGCCGCGGUAAUUCCAGCUCUAAUAGCGUAUAUUAAAGUUGUUGCAGUUAAAAAGCUCGUAGUCGGAUGUCGGGCUCGGGCAGGCUGUCGGCUUCGGUCGGACGGCAGGCUCGGGUCUUUCUGCCUGAGGAUCCCGUUGCACUUAAUUGUGGGGCGUGGGGACGCAGGCCGUUUACUUUGAAAAAAUUAGAGUGUUCAAAGCAGGCCUACGCUUGAAUACAUUAGCAUGGAAUAAUGGAAUAGGACUUUGGUGCUAUUUUGUUGGUUUAUGGGACCGAAGUAAUGAUUAACAGGGACAGUUGGGGCCGUUUAUAUUUCGUUGUCAGAGGUGUAAUUCUUGGAUUUACGAAAGACAAACUUCUGCGAAAGCAUUCGGCAAGGAUGUUUUCAUUGAUCAAGAACGAAAGUUAGGGGAUCGAAGACGAUCAGAUACCGUCGUAGUCUUAACCAUAAACUAUGCCGACUAGGGAUCAAUGGAUGUCAAUUUGCGACUCCAUUGGCACCUUGUGAGAAAUCAAAGUUUUUGGGUUCCGGGGGGAGUAUGGUCGCAAGGCUGAAACUUAAAGGAAUUGACGGAAGGGCACCACCAGGAGUGGAGCCUGCGGCUUAAUUUGACUCAACACGGGGGAACUUACCAGGUCCAGACAUAGUAAGGAUUGACAGAUUGAAAGCUCUUUCUUGAUUCUAUGGGUG